Nicotiana tabacum (common tobacco) is the source of this 222-nucleotide non-coding RNA. Lineage: Eukaryota; Viridiplantae; Streptophyta; Magnoliopsida; Solanales; Solanaceae. The record is from RefSeq and is a predicted model, not a curated record.
GAAAGGAUGAUAUGUAUCUGAAUACAAUACUUUGCUUCCUGAAAGUGCUGCUUGUACUUGUUUUAGCAACCUUUUAUUUGUAUUGGAAGACAGCCAACAGGAGGAAGCCCGGCAACAAGCAUCUUACGACAUCCAAGAUUAUAUAGAUCCUGAAAAGUCGAUUUAGGGGGUACUGGAGGGAUCAAAUAAAGAUGGACUUAUAUUACCUCUACAAAGUUCUGG